UUGGAGGGCAAGUCUGGUGCCAGCAGCCGCGGUAAUUCCAGCUCCAAUAGCGUAUAUUAAAGUUGUUGCAGUUAAAAAGCUCGUAGUUGAAUUUCGGAAUCUGUCCAUCGGUCGGGCUUCACUGUUCGUACUGGUGUGGUGGGUUCUUGCCUUCUGAAUAACCAGCAUGCCAUUAAUUUGGUGCGUUGGGGAAGCAGGACUAUUACCUUGAAAAAAUUAGAGUGCUCAAAGCAGGCUAGUGCCUGAAUACAUUAGCAUGGAAUAAUAAAAUAGGACGGCAUGGUUCUAUUUUGUUGGUUUCUAGGAUCACCGUAAUGAUUAAUAGGGAUAGUUGGGGGCAUUAGUAUUCAAUUGUCAGAGGUGAAAUUCUUGGAUUUAUUGAAGACUAACUUCUGCGAAAGCAUUUGCCAAGGAUGUUUUCAUUAAUCAAGAACGAAAGUUAGGGGAUCGAAGACGAUCAGAUACCGUCGUAGUCUUAACCAUAAACUAUGCCGACUAGGGAUCGGACGAUGUUAAUUUUUUAAUGACUCGUUCGGCGCCUUACGGGAAAC
This 551-nucleotide ribosomal RNA is filed under the name uncultured Glomeromycotina. RNAcentral's name for it is "SSU rRNA". It matches the Rfam family "Eukaryotic small subunit ribosomal RNA", at positions 548 to 1098 of the family's 1831-position model. The record is from RNAcentral. Lineage: Eukaryota; Fungi; Glomeromycota.